RNAcentral lists this transfer RNA (76 nucleotides) under Amycolatopsis sp. CA-230715. Its description in RNAcentral is "tRNA-Phe". It matches the Rfam family "tRNA". From Rfam's summary of the family: Transfer RNA (tRNA) molecules are approximately 80 nucleotides in length. Their secondary structure includes four short double-helical elements and three loops (D, anti-codon, and T loops). RNAcentral also lists the same sequence under 4 other names. The record is from RNAcentral. Lineage: Bacteria; Bacillati; Actinomycetota; Actinomycetes; Pseudonocardiales; Pseudonocardiaceae.
GGCUCUUUAGCUCAGCAGGCAGAGCACCGGAGUGAAGCCCCGGAGGUUCAGGGUUCGAGUCCCUGGGGAGCCACCA